CGUGUAGGCGGCCUGCCAAGUCGGGUGUGAAAGCCCUCGGCUCAACCGAGGAAUUGCACCCGAUACUGGCGGGCUAGAGUCCGGGAGGGGGUAGCGGAAUUCCCAGUGUAGCGGUGAAAUGCGUAGAUAUUGGGAAGAACACCAGUGGCGAAGGCGGCUACCUGGACCGGAACUGACGCUGAGGCGCGAAAGCUAGGGGAGCGAAUG
This 207-nucleotide ribosomal RNA is filed under the name uncultured bacterium. RNAcentral describes it as "partial 16S ribosomal RNA". It matches the Rfam family "Bacterial small subunit ribosomal RNA", at positions 568 to 774 of the family's 1533-position model. The record is from RNAcentral.